GGCUUGAUAGCUCAGUUGGUAGAGCACUGCACCGCAAUCACAGAGGUCAUGGGUUCGAAUCCCAUUCAAGCUU
This 73-nucleotide transfer RNA is filed under the name Desmophyllum pertusum. Its description in RNAcentral is "Lophelia pertusa tRNA". It matches the Rfam family "tRNA". Rfam says of the family: Transfer RNA (tRNA) molecules are approximately 80 nucleotides in length. Their secondary structure includes four short double-helical elements and three loops (D, anti-codon, and T loops). Lineage: Eukaryota; Metazoa; Cnidaria; Anthozoa; Scleractinia; Caryophylliidae. The record is from Rfam by way of RNAcentral.